GACGAACGCUGGCGGCGUGCCUAAUACAUGCAAGUAGAACGCACAGUUUAUACCGUAGCUUGCUACACCAUAGACUGUGAGUUGCGAACGGGUGAGUAACGCGUAGGUAACCUGCCUGGUAGCGGGGGAAAACUAUUGGAAACGAUAGCUAAUACGGCAUAAUAUUAAUUAUUGCAUGACAAUUAAUUGAAAGGUGCAAUUGCAACACUACCAGAUGGACCUGCGUUGUAUUAGCUAGUAGGUGAGGUAACGGCUAACCUAGGCGGCGAUACAUAGCCGACCUGAGAGGGUGAUCAGCCACACUGGGACGGGGACAAGGCCCAGACUCCUACGGGAGGCAGCAGUAGGGCAUCUUCGGCAAUGGACGGAAGUCUGACCGAGCAACGCCGCGUGAGUGAAGAAGGUUUUCGGCUCGUAAAGCUCGGUUGUAAGAGAAGAACGGGUGUGAGAGUGGAAAGUUCACACUGUGACGGUACCUUACCAGAAAGCGACGGCUAACUACGUG
This 505-nucleotide ribosomal RNA is filed under the name uncultured bacterium. RNAcentral describes it as "partial 16S ribosomal RNA". It matches the Rfam family "Bacterial small subunit ribosomal RNA", at positions 28 to 507 of the family's 1533-position model. The record is from RNAcentral.